Peromyscus maniculatus bairdii (prairie deer mouse) is the source of this 2139-nucleotide non-coding RNA. Lineage: Eukaryota; Metazoa; Chordata; Mammalia; Rodentia; Cricetidae. The record is from RefSeq and is a predicted model, not a curated record.
UACCGCUUGUGGGAUUUACUUCUUCGGGUCUCUUAGGGGCGGUCCUCACCCCGACUCCUUGGAGGAGCUGAGCUUCCAUGCGGCGUCUGGGGACCGCGACCCCUUUAUCCAUUCGCAAUCUGGGUGGUGGUUGCCUGUCCUCCAACCUUCCGGAUCCCCACCCAAAAGCUACCAGGACGACCCUGCUCUCGACCUGCGGGGACUGAAGGGACUGGAUGAGGGGAGACUAGUGGCAGGAUUGCCGUGGAAAGGAAGGAGGAGACGAGUGAAUCAAGGAGAGUUGAUUUUCCAGGGUUUGCGCAGUUCCGUAAAACAAAACGAGCUUUCGAGCUUUAAAGUAAAUGAUGGGUGGCAGUGUCGAAGCCAAAAGCUUCCAGAAGUGGUUUUUGAAAAAUAAGAGUUGAAUGUACAUGAGUAAGCAAACACAGGAAUCCGAAAAACCACAGCCCGUGACAGAUCAAGCCUAGUACAUUUUCAGCAAUUCUGGAGAAUUGUUCCCCAGUCUGUUCAAUAUUCAUCUGGACUCCAUCAUGAAGGAAUGAAACGUAGAUAAGUCGUUAGAAAACUUUUGUAGGAACAGUGCCUCGUGUGAACAGAACAAAGCCGUUUUAUAAUCAGAUUUACCAAGCUGAGAAGAAGGAGUUUCAGCAAACGGAAGCUGCAGUGUUCUAUCACCAGGAAACAGUGUGUUUUCCAGAAUCGGUUUUAUUUGAAGUUGGGGGUGGAUGGGAGAUGUAUGUGAGCACUUGAAUCCUCAGGAUGGACUUUUGGAAGAAAGAACUGGCUAUGUGAAAACUCUUCCACUAUGAGCAACUAAAUUGAGGAGAGAAGAAUACUAUUGUCAAGUGUGAUUUUGUUUCUGACCAGCACCGACAGAGCCAUCAGUGAGCAAGCUCCAAAGAAGCAUCCUUCUUUUCAUCUCUGAGGAGGCCUAGAACUGGACCUUCCACAGGCAGGAGGAGUGAGCAACCAGCACAUAAAGGGCCCACCACUUUGGACUGAAAAGAAGUUGUCUGAGAAGAGCUACAGAAGAACUAAAAAUUCAGUACUUUGAAAAUAUUAGAUGGCACAAGAGUUGGACAUUGAGGCAUGUGAUUUUUAUCAACAGAUUUAUUGAAGAAUGAUAAAGAAAGAACAACAUGUACUUCAUGUGGGAAGUUUGAGUGUGGAUAUACGUAAACACCUAUGAUGCCAUAACCCAAUUCCUCAUAAUCAAGGAACCAUAAAUGAGUGUGACUUCUCAUUGAAAAGAAUAGAGGAAUGGACCUCCACGAAGUUGAUCACCUUAGCAAUUAAUGGUUUCAUUGUGAUUUCAUCCAAAACAGCCUCACAUGCCAUCUUGUCAACUGAAGAAACCAAAGAUAAGAUGUAAUGUCAUCUUUCCUCUUCUUGCUUCAACAUUCAAAGAUUGAUCAUGUUAUAAUGAAAUACUUUCUAUUUGUUGUUGCUGACAGGAAGUAAAAUACCUUAGGGCACUGUGCACCUACCUCACCAUUCCUCCUCAUUUUGUUUUCUCUUCUACUUGCAGGAAUGUGGUUUAUAUUUGUUCUUCUUUUGUCAUUGUCUCAUUUUAUGAAGAACUCUCCAGUCUCAAUAGAAUCUGAAAGUUUUUUCUGGUGUUCCAACAUCUUACCACAUCAUUAGUUCCCUGACUGGACUGUCCACUAUUGCUGAUCAUUCCUUAUGAAAGUAGAACAGCUGUGUGAUGGAAUGACAAGGAACUUAGGCAAGGAACUCAAGCAUGGCUUUCCAUGGUGAGAGGAAGAAGAGAAUUGAAAUUGCUUCUAAGAAACACAAGUUUUAUAAUGUGGUUUAUUUGCCUACUCAUUUGGUAAAUAAAUGUAAAUGUAUGAAUAUUUCUAGAAAGUAGCAAUUCAGGCUAAAAUUCUCAGUGGAGGAAUAGAAGUUUUAAAGGUGAAUUUGUAAGUAGUUAGCUAUAAACUAGAGAUUUUUAGUAGGAAAUCAUGUAUUUUACAUUAAUGUGACUUAAAUAAAAAACUAGAAAAGGUAAGUAAGUGCUGCAAAGAUCAAUGUCUAUGUAAUUAAUUAAUCAAUCACCAAUGAUGGUGAUAUAAUGUAUUUUUGUCAUCUCAUGCUAAAUUCAAUGAAAAUAAAGCUAAUAACUUAGAAUUUUUAAAA